Molecule: ribosomal RNA, 476 nt
Filed under: Necrosciinae sp. 1 SB-2021
Lineage: Eukaryota; Metazoa; Arthropoda; Insecta; Phasmatodea; Lonchodidae
Description: partial large subunit ribosomal RNA
Rfam family: Bacterial large subunit ribosomal RNA
Source: RNAcentral
UUAUUUAAUGGCCGCGGUAUUUUGACCGUGCAAAGGUAGCAUAAUCAUUAGUUUAUUAAUUGUAAACUUGUAUGAAUGGUUGGACGAAAUAUUAACUGUCUCUUAUUUAAUUUUAUAAUUUAAAUUUUGAGUUAAAAUGCUUAAAUUUUAUUAGAGGACGAGAAGACCCUAUAGAUUUUUAUUAUAUUAAUUUUAAUUUUUUUUUUGUUUAUUUCUUUAUUAUUUUUAAUAUUUUUUGAUUGGGGUGAUCUAGGGAAAUAAGUAACUCUUUAUUUUAUUAUACAUUUAUAUUUGUAUUUAUGACCUUUUAUUAAUGUUAUAAGAUUUAAAUACCUUAGGGAUAACAGCGUAAUUUUAAUUGAGAGUUCAUAUCGACAUUAAAGAUUGCGACCUCGAUGUUGGAUUAAGAAUAAAUUUAGGGGCAGAUCCUUAAAUAUUAAGUCUGUUCGACUUUUAAAUUCUUACAUGAUCUGAGU